CCUACGGGAGGCAGCAGUGGGGAAUUUUCCGCAAUGGGCGAAAGCCUGACGGAGCAAUACCGCGUGAGGGAUGACGGCCUAUGGGUUGUAAACCUCUUUUUUCAGGGAGGAAUCAAAUGACGUGUACCUGAAGAAU
This 136-nucleotide ribosomal RNA is filed under the name uncultured bacterium. RNAcentral's name for it is "partial 16S ribosomal RNA". It matches the Rfam family "Bacterial small subunit ribosomal RNA", at positions 338 to 487 of the family's 1533-position model. The record is from RNAcentral.